This 497-nucleotide ribosomal RNA is filed under the name uncultured bacterium. Its description in RNAcentral is "partial 16S ribosomal RNA". It matches the Rfam family "Bacterial small subunit ribosomal RNA", at positions 28 to 507 of the family's 1533-position model. The record is from RNAcentral.
GAUGAACGCUGGCGGCGUGCCUAAUACAUGCCAGUCGAGCGAACGGACGAUAAGCUUGCUUCUCUGAUGUUAGCGGCGGACGGGUGAGUAACGCGUGGAUCACCUACCUAUAAGUCUGGGAUAACUUCGGGAAACCGUGGAUAAUACCGGAUAAUAUUUUGAACCGCAUGGUGCAAAAGUGAAAGACGGUCUUGGUGUCACUUAUAGAUGGUUCCGCGCUGCAUUAGCUAGUUGGUAAGGUAACGGCUUACCAAGGCUACGAUGCAUAGCCGAGCUGAGAGGGUGAUCGGCCACACUGGAACUGAGACACGGUCCAGACUCCUACGGGAGGCAGCAGUCGGGAAUCUUCGGCAAUGGGCGAAAGCCUGACGGAGCAACGCCGCGUGAGUGAUGAAGGCCUUCGGAUCGUAAAGCUCUGUUAUUGGGGAAGAACAUCUGUGUAAGUAACUGUGCACAUCUUGACGGUACCUAAUCAGAAAGCCACGGCUAACUACGUG